GACGAACGCUGGCGGCGUGCCUAAUACAUGCAAGUAGAACGCACAGUUUAUACCGUAGCUUGCUACACCAUAGACUGUGAGUUGCGAACGGGUGAGUAACGCGUAGGUAACCUGCCUGGUAGCGGGGGAUAACUAUUGGAAACGAUAGCUAAUACCGCAUAAUAUUAAUUAUUGCAUGAUAAUUAAUUGAAAGGUGCAAUUGCACCACUACCAGGUGGACCUGCGUUGUAUUAGCUAGUAGGUGAGGUAACGGCUCACCUAGGCGACGAUACAUAGCCGACCUGCGAGGGUGAUCGGCCACACUGGGACUGAGACACGGCCCAGACUCCUACGGGAGGCAGCAGUAGGGAAUCUUCGGCAAUGGACGAAAGUCUGACCGAGCAACGCCGCGUGAGUGAAGAAGGUUUUCGGAUCGUAAAGCUCUGUUGUAAGAGAAGAACGGGUGUGAGAGUGGAAAGUUCACACUGUGACGGUAUCUUACCAGAAAGGGACGGCUAACUACGUG
RNAcentral lists this ribosomal RNA (505 nucleotides) under uncultured bacterium. RNAcentral's name for it is "partial 16S ribosomal RNA". It matches the Rfam family "Bacterial small subunit ribosomal RNA", at positions 28 to 507 of the family's 1533-position model. The record is from RNAcentral.